Long non-coding RNA from Mugil cephalus (flathead mullet), 6410 nucleotides. RefSeq lists it as uncharacterized. The record is from RefSeq and is a predicted model, not a curated record. The transcript has 2 exons. Lineage: Eukaryota; Metazoa; Chordata; Actinopteri; Mugiliformes; Mugilidae.
CUACCAACAAAGCAUGCUAAAUAUGUCAGAGUCUUGGGAGUGAAAGUGAUUUUUAACAACGGUUAUAUUUAAUGCUUUAAAAGUCUCUAACAUAGACAGUAUAAAGAUGGACUUUAAAUAAGUACAGUGUAUAAUCCAACAUUUUCUUGUAACAGAGUGUAGGGUUAAUUACACAAAAAGGUGAGUACUGAUCCAACUCUGAAUAGUGUCAAUUUGUCCAGUGCGGAGGUGCAUUGUCCAUAUUUAUAUACAGGCUAUGGUCUCCAAUGAUUAAAGAAAGAUGAAAGAAUUUUUAAUUUGUGUCCUGUGUAGUGAUUCAAGGAUUCAUGCAAAGCACAUAUCUGAGGGAAAACUAAUGUUAUAACACAAGUAUAGAGCCGAAACAUAAAAAAAAGUUGGAUUUUAUCAUCUUUUAAUAGUGAUAGUUCUUACAUCAAAAGACAUUAAGGUUGUCCAAUAUGCAGACGAUGACCUCCUUUUCGUGCAAUCAAUACUUUUCAAGUAAUUUUAUAAAAUAAUCGCAUGCACUUUCUGUCUGGUUUAGAAGAAUCAUGCGUUUAUGUUUAAUACAUAACAGGAACUAGGUGGUGAUAAGUGUGGCUUAGCAAAAAGGAAAGAAAUAGGUGGAAAUAGUAAGCCUCCCUUCCUCUUUCCAAAUUAAAUAAAAGUGAAGUGCUAUGACCUCUGAAACUCACAAAUUAACAUGUGAACGUUGCCACAGGUUUCCAGGCAACUUUCUGCUACGAAGCGACCAUGUGUGUCCAGCUACACUUACGCCGAGCGUAGCUCAAGCCUUUGUCAACGCUGUCAUCACAUAUGAUGGGUUGAUGAAUGACUACGUCACUGGAGCGUUGAAAGAAGAAGCCAGCUUUGAUUUAUAGCUUGUCGGUCAUUUCAGUUGUAAUGUGUCAAGUCAACGUUGGACAAAGCCAGGCUAGCAGUUUCCACCAGUUUCAAGUCUUUAUGCUACGGUAAGCUAAUCGCCUCCUGGCUCCAGCCCUAAAAUCACUGCACAGGCAUGGGAAUUAUACCUGUCUUCUCAUCACAAUCCAUCGCAAAAAAAUCCCAUGUUUGUUCGUUCAUACAUACAUUAGCAAUCAUUCAAUUUUGAGGUAUUCCUAGAAACAAAAAAAUCACAAAACCAAAAGAGACAUUUUGGGCAUCAAACCCAUUUUAUUUCAACUUAAUGCAGUUUAAUCCAACACAGUGCACAUGCAAAGUAUCAUAUUUAAAUAUAUAUACUGUAUGUUUGUACCAAGUGUCAUGUUUUGAAAUUUAAAUAUUCCAACAUUUAGGUAAUAAAUUAAAGAAACGUUACCAAAAAACACUGCCCACAAUGAGUAUACACUUUUAAUUAAAAGCAUAAGAUACGUGAUAAAUUUGCAAUGUUCAUAGUUGUACUUUUUCAGAAAAUAUUUGUUUUUAAAAACACAAAUUCAGCGUGAGACACCAGAAAGGAAAUAAAAAAUAUCACAAUUAGACAAAUAUUUUGUUAUGUCCUACAUCUUUCACUUAAAGGUAUUAUGUGUAGGAUUGUCUCUGAACUUAACACUACUACUACUAGAAUAACAUGUGCUACAACUUACAGUCACUAUGAGCUGCUUCAUGACAGCAAAGUUAUUAUAUUUCCUUUGCCUCUGAAUAUUUAAACUGCUAAUACAGAAGUAAGUGACCAACUCGCAGACUUCACCCAAAAUUAAAGGUGGCUUUUUUAUUUUUAUUUAUUAUUCAAGAAAAGCAAGAAUCACUGAGUUUAACGACCAGACGUGACGUCUGAACCGAGUCAUAAUAUAACCGUAAUACACCGUCUUCAAAGAGAAUACUACACAUAGCACCUUUAGAAUCAUUUUCACAUUGAACUGUUGCUCAGAUUAUUGGAAACACAAUAAGAAAUCCUCAAAACAGUGCACAAAAUAAAACAAAAAAAAACAAACAAAAAAAAUCACAGUUGAAGAAGCAACUACAGCAUAGCCAUGGGGGUACGUCUAGAAAAUCCUAGUACUGAUGAAUUGAAGUCGUGUGUUGACAUUUCUGACGUCUAGCUGAGAAUUUGAUAUGUCAACGCCUUUAGAAGCAAACGGGCACCAGAUAUCUGUCGUGUGCCUGAGUGAUGGAGGUAGAAACGCUGGGCUAAUGGUAAAAAUACAGCAUAGGCGAGAAUGAAUUAGUUGACCUUUUUGCUUGCGUCAAAUAUUAGUUUUAGUGUAUAUUUAGUAGAAGUAGCAUAUGGCUUACCUGUGGCACAGUCUGCAACCUAACUUUAAGCUGUCAAAAGCGCACAUGCUUUUGUCUUGAGGGGAAUGUUAGACCUGUUGCACUGGUAGACUUUAAGGGACCGUUAAAGGACGUUUCAGGAAAUAUGCUUAUCUGAUUUCUUGCCAAGCAUUAGAAGAGACGAUUGAAAAUGCCUCUGAUGUCUGAACAGUAGACUAUGGAGCAGUUAGCAACUAGCAGAAGUUAACAAGAGUGUCCCCGCAGAAAGUGGAAGCUUAAAAAUAUGCUUUGGGGUUCGUGGCUAGAAGUUUGUAGUGCAUGUGACGCACAAGUUGUUACACCAGAGACGUAGAGAGCCGUAGUCUGUUCUGUUCUAACCAAGCAGCAACUUCAGGGCCUGAAAAGUGAAGUUCCCCCAAAUGGUCAGUUGAGCCUGGCUCCAAAAGGUAGUCAAUACCCACAGACCUCCACGUUUAAAAAUAAAAUAACUAUACAGAAAUAAAUGUUUUCACAGCCUGGUGCUUUGGACUCUAAAGCUAAUUGCUAAAACAUGGCUGCCCUCACAGGUUGCUAGCUAUCUGGGAGUCAAGCAAUGCCAAGAUGGCGCCCACUGGAGACACCCACUGAGCUUCAAUACUGGUUUUUAGGAUACCUAUGGUUAAUAUCAUCAGAAGUUCAUCCACAUUCAUAUACAGCAAGUAAAGACUAUGAUGAUUGUAUGACUCGUCUUCGGCAAUAUUUCAGCGAAAGUUUCAGUCGCCAUUGUUGAAAGUAAAGCAAGUAGUAGAAACAAGAAAGGUCCGUUACCAAACCGUUGGUUAAAAUCUGUUGUAUUUACAUUUUGUUGUUUUUGCGCUAAGUUAACAAAGGACAUUCAAAAUGUUACUUGUAGAUGCUGGUAGACAAAUGUUGUUCACUUCACAGACCACGAAUAGCUGUUUCUGCUAAUUUUAGCUUCAUUUCUACCAUUCAGACAAGAUAAUGGUCCCGUUCCUCUCAAACAUGAACGAGCACAUUUCCCAAAACGUCAAAAGAUCUCCAAGGACAACACUCUUACCACCAGUGUCACUGACUUCCUUCCAUUAAAAACAGUGCAAAGUGCAGCUCCACACUCAUAUUGUUUGAUUUGACACAGACAAACAGAGACGUGUGAAACCAAGAUUACAAAACACACAGCGAGCCACGUUUGACCAGCUUAUAAAAGUCAAUUUAAAAAAGUUGCGCUGAGUACAAAAUAAACCGCAGGUCUGAUAACAUCAACUAGUGAGUUCUGACCUGACACUAAAAAAACCAAACCUUUAAAUUUUCUUCAUUUGCUUAACCACCUAUAUAUAGAGGAGCCAGGUGAACCAGCUGAACCUGAAGUGCUGCCACGCUACCUGUGUUUUUUUUCUUUUUCGCCAAACGAAUCUUCUGCACACACCCAUGUAGUUACAACUACAUCACGCAGACUCAACUCUUUCCACUUUGCAGCUGCCGCAUGGAUGCUAUUUUUAUUUUUUUGAAUACGUCCGUCUAUCUUAGCUGCUGCUCGUCCUCUGUAAUGUCCCUCCACUCUCCCAGACAUUAGUUGAAGGGAGGAGGAGAAAAAAAGCUGUUCAUGAAAAAGAUAUCACAGCCUCACUGGCUUUGCUAACACAAAAUUUGACGCCUACACCGUAGCCUGACCUGAACCUCGCCAGGAAUGUAGUGGCAACACAAAGCGCAAGAGCUGGAAUUGGUUCGCCUGGUAGCGGCAGUGUUUCUGGUAUUUACGGCUACUUCUCCACCUCUGCAUAUUCACAUUUUUGAAUCGAUUGUUUUGGAUCAAUAAGGACGGACCACGUCGACGAAAGGUUAACCGAGGAGGGUCAAAGAUAUAAAUAUUUGUCGUCUCCGGCAAAAUUUCGGCGAAGGUUUCAGUUGCCAUUGUUAAAAGUGAAUCAAAAAUUAACCAGACUGGCAAAAAAAGACACGCUCUUAUGUCUUUUUGUAGAGAAAGAUUUUAUAGAGCGAGCCAGAUCGACAAGCGCACAAGUAUAAAUAGCUCACACUGGCGUAGGCUACAUACGUAGGUUACGUCGUCUAUGUACUUUAUAUAAUCCUUAAUCAAAAAAGAAGAAGAACUAUUUAAGCCGAAAGAGAAGUCACGUCACAGUUCUCCACAUUUGACAGGCGCACACAGUUACAGACUGGCCAUAAAUAAAUAACUAUUCUACUCUGCAAUUCUUAUGGCUAAACCUUUUUCUAACAUGGGCGACAAAAACGUUCGUCAUGAUGAGAUGAGGGUGAUUUUUUUUUUUUUUUGUUUUGUUUUCUUUUUACACAAUACUGGAUGAGAAUAAGACGAUGAAAAAACUGUGAGCACCAUUGGAAAUCUUUUCAGUGAGGUUCUCCAUUAAGCUAAACCCGACACGUCUGUGAGUCAGACCAGAGAGCAAAACAAAGAUACAAUUAAGUUAAGUAAACAAACAGAUAUCCCUUAUGUCGUAUGGAUGAAGUUGGACAAAAAAAGGAAGAUGAGGAUAAGAUGCCAAAUAACUAAAAAGCAUUUUAUUUAGUUGUCAUACUUUUUUUUUUAGAUUUGCGUCCGAACAAAAGACGCAAACAAGUCAUGCAAUGGUUUUGUAAAGACGCCUGGUAUUAAAACUGUUUAAGCUUUAAUUCGUAUAGGACACAUUAGAAAGUUUGCAUUUUAAGAUUUUCUAAUUUACGCUCAGGCUACAGGGGUUUUAAGAACAGAUUCUGAAAUCUGUUGGUAUCACACACUUGGGGCGAAACAUCACAAUUAGUCUUCUCCUUAAUCUCGGCAAACUACGGACGAGAAACAAUUUGACAACAAUUUGACUGACUGCAGUCAAAGUAUCGUACCAGAAACUUAAAAUUGUCGCUUUUUUCAAGAAAAAAUUAUCGCACAUACCCGAUAACCACAUCCCAUAUAGUACAGCUUAUAAUGCAGCUUUACCUUUUAAUGAACUAACAAGACUAUUUGUUUAUGCUAAUAGCCAUGUACUGAAGGGGUCAACUUAUCGCACUUUAUGGGAUUUUUGGAAUUACUGAUGGUACAGAUUAUCGUACAAAUACGACAAUUAUCGUACGUCUGGUAAUGCCGACUGCAGUGCAACAACUCACUGUGAAUCACUUUUAUAAUGCGAGCUAAUGUUAGCUCAGAGGGAUACUAUGUUUACUGUUGCAGAUUUGUUUUUUUAAGUGAAACCGCCAAAGUAAUCAUCCAGAUUUUGAAAUUCUAAACAUCACACGUGUCCGAGGUCAGUCGGAGGAGCCCCAGUUGACCUGUGAGCAGAUCUGUAAACCAUCUCAUGACCAGAUAAUCUGAGCUGAUCCUCAGUUUUGAGUGCGGUCCAGACUAGAAUGUUGGGAGGCUUGAAUGUCCUGCAGUCCGACAGGGAAAGCGAUUUAGUAUUUAGUGCUGCUUUAAUCCAGAGAAAAUGUGAAUAAACCUCAAUAAAAGCAUGUUUUUGUUUUUUUUUUCCCAUGGAAAUUAAUAAUAAAAUAAAGAGUGAUAUUUGACUGAAAGGAGAAGAAGGUCAGUGAGUGGCUGAAGGGGGAGAUACGUAUGGCUUUAAGGUUAUGCAUAUAUUCAUUAUGCAGUUUGUCUGGAAAUUGCUCCCCUAAUAUUCAACUCAAGUGUGCGAAACGAGACCUAAUAUUGAUGAUAUGAUAUUUAGCAGACACAAAGACAAAAAAGACAGAAAAUGACAACAAAAGACAAGCGAAAAAACAAAUGAUGGCAUUUGAUUGUCGGCUUUUUCUUCGCGCUCAUACGUGAACAAAAUGACUCCCAGUAGGUGACCUUCUAUUCUACUAUUUUGUCGAUCCCAUUUAUAUCAGUGGACACUGGCUGUUAAAAAACACUAAGCAGGUAGGAUAUAUUGUUGUAUUAGACUGCAUUAAAUUCAUAUUUUAUCGUGGAAACUUGGUUUAGGUUAUAUCAUGGGGGGGAGAACUAAGACUUUUUUUGUUUUUUGCUAAAACAUGAUUAUUUUAAAACCGUACAACACAUUUUCAAUGUAUUUUUGUAGUUACCACCUUUUUUUCCCCUCAAUUUCUCGAACCUCGAUCUCUGCAGGUGCACCAGGACAGAGCACGAAAUCUAUUGGGGUUGUUCUCUUUUUUUUUUUAAAUCUUGCACUAGUAAUCUCAAAAAUAUUUAGUUGUGUCGUCAGUUUUAAUUAAGCAUUAAUUUUCUAAAAACA